RNAcentral lists this non-coding RNA (84 nucleotides) under Desulfobacter sp. Its description in RNAcentral is "Desulfitibacter sp. c-di-GMP sequence". It matches the Rfam family "c-di-GMP-I-GGC riboswitch aptamer". Lineage: Bacteria; Pseudomonadati; Thermodesulfobacteriota; Desulfobacteria; Desulfobacterales; Desulfobacteraceae. The record is from RNAcentral.
UAUGAAAAAGGCAAACCUACCGAAAGAUAGGGACGCAAAGCUAUAGGGCCUUUCUUUAAAAGAAUGGUAGCCUGGCCGCCGAUU